UCGCGGCCUAUCAGCUUGUUGGUGGGGUAAUGGCCUACCAAGGCGACGACGGCUAGCCGGCCUGAGAGGGUGACCGGCCACACUGGGACUGAGACACGGCCCAGACUCCUACGGGAGGCAGCAGUGGGGAAUAUUGCACAAUGGGCGAAAGCCUGAUGCAGCGACGCCGCGUGAGGGAUGACGGCCUUCGGGUUGUAAACCUCUUUCAGCAGGGAAGAAGCGAAAGUGACGGUACCUGCAGAAGAAGCACCGGCUAACUACGUGCCAGCAGCCGCGGUAAUACGUAGGGUGCGAGCGUUGUCCGGAAUUAUUGGGCGUAAAGAGCUCGUAGGCGGUUUGUCGCGUCGAUUGUGAAAGCCCGGGGCUUAACCCUGGGUCUGCAGUCGAUACGGGCAGGCUAGAGUUCGGCAGGGGAGACUGGAAUUCCUGGUGUAGCGGUGAAAUGCGCAGAUAUCAGGAGGAACACCGGUGGCGAAGGCGGGUCUCUGGGCCGAUACUGACGCUGAGGAGCGAAAGCGUGGGGAGCGAACAGGAUUAGAUACCCUGGUAGUCCACGCCGUAAACGGUGGGCACUAGG
Molecule: ribosomal RNA, 577 nt
Filed under: Streptomyces carpaticus
Lineage: Bacteria; Bacillati; Actinomycetota; Actinomycetes; Kitasatosporales; Streptomycetaceae
Description: bacterial SSU rRNA
Rfam family: Bacterial small subunit ribosomal RNA
Source: RNAcentral